CGGACGGGUGAGUAAUGCCUAGGAAUCUGCCUGGUAGUGGGGGACAACGUUUCGAAAGGAACGCUAAUACCGCAUACGUCCUACGGGAGAAAGCAGGGACCUUCGGGCCUUGCGCUAUCAGAUGAGCCUAGGUCGGAUUAGCUAGUUGGUGAGGUAAUGGCUCACCAAGGCGACGAUCUGUAACUGGUCUGAGAGGAUGAUCAGUCACACUGGAACUGAGACACGGUCCAGACUCCUACGGGAGGCAGCAGAA
Molecule: ribosomal RNA, 253 nt
Filed under: uncultured Pseudomonas sp.
Lineage: Bacteria; Pseudomonadati; Pseudomonadota; Gammaproteobacteria; Pseudomonadales; Pseudomonadaceae
Description: partial 16S ribosomal RNA
Rfam family: Bacterial small subunit ribosomal RNA
Source: RNAcentral